RNAcentral lists this ribosomal RNA (423 nucleotides) under uncultured Propionibacterium sp. RNAcentral describes it as "bacterial SSU rRNA". It matches the Rfam family "Bacterial small subunit ribosomal RNA", at positions 124 to 561 of the family's 1533-position model. Lineage: Bacteria; Bacillati; Actinomycetota; Actinomycetes; Propionibacteriales; Propionibacteriaceae. The record is from RNAcentral.
ACCUGCCCUUGACUUUGGGAUAACUUCAGGAAACUGGGGCUAAUACCGGAUAGGAGCUCCUGCUGCAUGGUGGGGGUUGGAAAGUUUCGGCGGUUGGGGAUGGACUCGCGGCUUAUCAGCUUGUUGGUGGGGUAGUGGCUUACCAAGGCUUUGACGGGUAGCCGGCCUGAGAGGGUGACCGGCCACAUUGGGACUGAGAUACGGCCCAGACUCCUACGGGAGGCAGCAGUGGGGAAUAUUGCACAAUGGGCGGAAGCCUGAUGCAGCAACGCCGCGUGCGGGAUGACGGCCUUCGGGUUGUAAACCGCUUUCGCCUGUGACGAAGCGUGAGUGACGGUAAUGGGUAAAGAAGCACCGGCUAACUACGUGCCAGCAGCCGCGGUGAUACGUAGGGUGCGAGCGUUGUCCGGAUUUAUUGGGCGU